This 460-nucleotide ribosomal RNA is filed under the name uncultured bacterium. Its description in RNAcentral is "partial 16S ribosomal RNA". It matches the Rfam family "Bacterial small subunit ribosomal RNA", at positions 338 to 795 of the family's 1533-position model. The record is from RNAcentral.
CCUACGGGUGGCAGCAGUGAGGAAUAUUGGUCAAUGGGCUUAAGCCUGAACCAGCCAAGUCGCGUGAGGGAAGACUGCCCUAUGGGUUGUAAACCUCUUUUGUCCGGGAGCAACGCCGGCUACGUGUAGCCGGACUGAGAGUACCUGCAGAAAAAGCAUCGGCUACCUCGGUGCCAGCAGCCGCGGUAAUAGGGAGGAUGCGAGCGUUAUCCGAAUGUAUUGGGUUAAAGGGGUGCGUGGGCGGAAUGCCAAUUAAGCGGGAAAAUCGCGGGGCUCAACUUCGCACUGCCGGUGAUACUGGCGUGCUUGAGUGGGCUAGAAGUAGGCGGAAUGCGUGGUGUAGCGGUGAAAUGCUUAGAGAUCACGCAGAACACCGAUUGCGAAGGCAGCAUACCGGCGCCCAACUGACGCUGAAGCACGAAAGCGUGGGUAGCGAACAGGAUUAGAUACCCCUGUAGUC